Homo sapiens (human) is the source of this 5662-nucleotide long non-coding RNA. RefSeq lists it as uncharacterized. The transcript is spliced from 3 exons. Lineage: Eukaryota; Metazoa; Chordata; Mammalia; Primates; Hominidae. The record is from RefSeq and is a predicted model, not a curated record.
CCUGGGCCCAAGCAGUUCACCUGCCUUGGUCUCCCAAAGUGCUGGGAUUACAGGCAUAAGUCACCACUCCCUGACUAAAAUAUUGUUGAUCUGCAGUUGGUUGAAUCCAUGGAUGUAGAACCCUAGGAUACCAUAGACCAACUGUAUGUUUAUUAUCUUGUGAUCGUUUUGCAGGUGUGUACAUAUGACAAAGUCUAGUUUCACACAGGUAAUCCAUUGGAAACAUUUUAAUAUUUUUUCACUGAAUUGGGACUGUUCUUAUUAAACUGGGUGAGUUAGGCUCAGUAGUCCAUAGGCUAUCUUCAGUUUUACUUCCUGCUUUGUCCAUAUGGGGCCAAGAAGACUUGAUCAUAAGGCAAGUAUCCACCUGCAGGGGCCUUGCAGGGAGAGGUCACUGACCUCUUAAGCCUGUGAGUAGGACCUUUAUCUAAGAGGCAUGCUGGUGAUAACUACAUGCACAACGUUCGGAAACUACUGUCUACAGGCUGAAGUCUAACUUCUGGCCUAAAAUUCAAAGCCUUUCAUGCUUCAUCUUCUGCAGUUCUUCGCUCUUCUUUCUCCUCUAUCCCCUUCACCCUUCCCGUCCCACCACAUGAAUGACUAAUUCCUGAAUAGGUCAUGCUUCUCCUCCAUGCCUUUACCUGUGCUAUUACCUCUACCCAAAAUAUCCUCUUCCCCUUUUAUGACCACUCCCAGACAAUAUUAAUCCUUCCCUCUUUGGUGUUUCUGUUGUCAUCUGAGUGAUUUAUUCAGCAAACAGAGGCUAUGGACUUUCUUUGCGUCAGGUAGUAUUCUUGCUUGAAUACUACCUGACGCAAAGAAAGUCCAUAGCCUGUGCUUGCUGUGGAGAAAUCUCAAGCCUCAAGGGCUAACAAGCAAGAGACAAACACGAAAACCAGUAUUUUGUCUUAGAGGUGAGGAGUGCAGUGAGAGAUACGGGUAUGAUGGUAACACCAAAGAAGCAUGAUUGGUCCUGCUACAGAGAGGGGAGACUGGGCAGGACUUCCCGAUGGGUCAUUAUAACAGAAGAAAAGUGUUGCAGCUUAACAAAAGGGGAGGAGCAUGAACCAUGUGUGUGAGGCGUGGAGCUGUGAAACAGCAAGGAUGCACUCUGUAUUCGUUGCCUGGAGCUACUGUCCCAAAAUACCACAAAGUGGUGGCCUGAAACAACAGAAAUUUGUUCUCUUACAGUUCUGGAGGCCAGAAGUUCAAAAUCAAGGUGUCAGCAGAGUUGGUUUCUUCUUGUUGUGCUGAGAUAAUUCCUUCCAUGUCUCUCCUACCUUUUGGUGGGCCUGAGCAAUCCUUGGCAUUCCUUGGCUUGUAUAAGUCCAGUCUCUGCCUCUGUCUUCACAUAGGGUUCUCUUCUGUGUCUCCUUGUGUCUUGGCUUUCUGGCCCACACUAAAAUUAUCUAGGGCAAUUUUAUCCCAAGAUCCUUAAUUACUCUCUGAAGACCCUAUUUCCAAAUAAGGUCACAUUCACAGGUGUCAGGGAUUAAGAUUUGGACAUAUCUUUUGGAGGAACAUUAUUCAACCCACUCCUACCUCAAAAACUAUAAGAAUUGCUUUGCCUAGUUGCACUUUUGUUUUUAUUCCAAGCUUUUAUCGGGGGAUUCGGUCUUCCAUAUGUUCUUUUUUUCCUCUGUCCGACUUUCCAUUCUGAUUUAUACCUUCCUCAAGACUUUUAAAUUAGUGAUAAUUUCUCAUCUUACAUAUGUCCUUAUACUUCAGUUUGUGAAAUGUGUGUUGGACAAAAGCAUGAACUGGAAAACACCUAUCAGGUUUAGUGGCAGACCUCUGCCAAAGGAGUUCCAGGAUAGCAGUGAGCCAAGAAACUAGAUUGCAGUGCAUUGAGGAGGGAAUGAGCAGCUACGAAGAGGAGGGUGUCUGUCUCUUUAAACCCUUGCCUGUGAAAGGCUGACAGUACAGAACACUGGCUGGAGUGAGGCUGACAUUGACAGGAAGCUGCCGAAAGAGAGAGGGAUGCUGGAGAAAUAAAACUCAACUUAUGGCACUCACAUCAAGGAAGUGGGAAGGGAUGGAUCCAGAGGGACAAGCCAAUGGAGACGGGCGAGCAGGGUAAGGAGAUGGUAUCCUCCUCCUUGAUGGAGAAGCUUUUUCCAAGAACAAUGGAAUAGGUGUGCGGGGCAUAGGGAGACUUGGAAGGACCCCCAAAGGGAAUAGAAAAGGAGAGCCUCUUGGCCACUAGGAUGGUGUUAGGGAGCCAGGGGAGGUUGGAGCCUCUCUGGAAGUGCCCUGUGGCUGCCCAAGUGAGGGGAGACAAUGAGUACACAUGUGAAGAAAGGAUUUCCUGUGGGAAAACCAGAUUCAUGUCCUUCCUGCCCAGAGUUAUGUUCUUCAAGGAGUUCAGUCCUGCACACACUAGUGAAUAAUCCUUAUAAAUGUCCACAUAUGCCCCCCAAGUACGUCUACCAAACAUAGCUCAGUCUUACGUAAAACAGUGUACACAUGUUACUAAUCAGAUGCUCUCAUAAGGAAUCAUGCCAUUUUGAGAGGGCCCGAAGCUCUAACAACUUGAGACCUCCUAUCUGGGCCGUAGCUUUCUCAUUAUAAAGUUGGAAGUGGUAGGAUUAGCCUGGAUGGGUUCUCAUUACCUCCCAACUCUGGUAUUCUGUGGUUCUAAUGGUAGUUGGUAGCCCUUGGCAUCACUCAAGAAUAAUCCUUGAUGGCCAGUGUGCAGCACUGCCUCCCUGUGGGCACCCCUCAGUCUAACAGCCACACAGCAAGUCCCCAGCCUCCCCAGCUCUGCCCCAUUGUAUCCAGGUAAGCAAGGUGAGCCCUUGCUGUAAGCAUCACCCUGGUUGCCUUCCCAUGACCCAGCUUCUGAGAAUCUCCUUGCUGUGUGCAUAGCCCUCUUCACCCAUCUCUCCAGCUCUUCGUGUUGGGCUCCGCCCUUCUUCUGGUAGUCUUCUGAUUCCAUGUGGCCCCAUGAGCCACUCUCUGCCCAACCAGUCAUGUAGAUGUGGCUUGUGCACAGUCUAGAGACUAUAUAAGCAGGCCAUGAUGGUUGGUUGUGAUCAUUUUUAGGUAUCAUGCUCUUGAUAAUGAACAUAUCCCUCGAUUUGAUACUGUUUUGAUGGGAAAAUCAGUUUUAUCCCCUCACCAUCCCUUUGUGAGCAUACACCUAGCCUUAAGUGCUUAGAAGUGGCUGUUCUGGCCAGGCGCAGUGGCUCACGCCUGUAAUCCCAACACUUUGGGAGGCCGAGGCAGGAGGAUCACUUGAGCCCAGGAGUUCAAGACCAGCCGGGGCAACAUAGGGAGACCUUGUCUCUACAAAAAAAAAUUAAAAUAAAUUAGAAAUAAGAAAUAAGGCCAGGCACGGUGGCUCAUGCCUAUGAUCCCAACACUGGGAGGCUGAGGUGGGAGGAUUACUUGAGCUCAAGAAUUUGAGACCAGCCUGGGCAACAUGGUGAGACCCCAUCUCUACAAAAAAAUUUAAAAAAUUAGCCAGGUGUGGUUUUGCACACCUAUAUUCCCAACUACUUGGGAGGCCGAGAUGGGAGGAUUUCCUGAGCCCCUGCAGUGAGCUAUGAUUGCACCACUGCACUCCAGCCUGGGUGACAGUGAGACCUGGUCUCAAAAAAAAAAAAAAAAAAAAAUUCUGUGGCACCCUCCUGGAGACGGGUCUGUUUUUAGCUUCCACACCAUUAAUAGUUUAAUCUCUUAAGUCACAAGUAAGGAAAGGGAGUCACAUACGACAGCAAAAGCCCGCAGUUCCCAGCAAAAGCCAGAGGCAAAUGAGAACCCACGAAGAACCCAGAGUUCACACCACAACCUGUGCGCUGGUCGGGGUGACCCAUGCUGGACCUCCACAGAACAUGGGGCCAUUCAGCUAACUCAGUAAACACUUGCUGAGCAUCUGACCUGAGCCAGGUCCUGUGCUGACAUCUAGGACUUUCUACCCUUAAGGAGCUGUGGCUUUUUCUCUAGUUGGUGAGACAGAUGGAAACCCCUUCAGUUCCACUACAGAUAUUUUUGAAAUACCUGUUAUGUGCCAGGCACUUUCUGAACUCGAGGUACCGCAGUGAACCAGACAGGUGUUAUCUAUGCCCUCCUGGGGCUUCUAAGCCUUCAGAGAAGAUAGACACUGUACAGGUGAGUUAAGUGCUCCAAAGAGUAUGGCUCCUGGUGUGUAAGGGUUCAAAUAUCUGUUGAUAGAAAGGAUAAAGGCCAUGUCAUCUUUAUUCUUUCUCACAGGGCCCAGCAUGGGGCCUAACACAGUUAGACUUAAGUAAAUGGAUUCAACUCACUGGUCCCCAGCACUGUCCUCUGCAUGAUGUUACCGAAAUGGAGACAACCAAAACUAACUGGACAACUUAGUCAGCUGGACUGGAAGACUGCACUUCCAAAUGGAAAGAACCUGUCCAGCUUGGCCGUGGACCCUAGGAGGAUGAGGGACACGUACAGCAGAGAUGCCCACCAGCUUGCCAACCCCUGAGUGAGCCCAGCCAAGGUCAAAAAAUACAGAAAAGAAAGAAUCUACCACAGAUACCCUUUUAUUAGAUCAGAAGAGAGAAAGCUUGUAGACGCCUCGUGAACUCACCCCUUCCACUGCGAAGUGCCAGACCCUGGGCUGGACACCGUGGGAGAGGCCAGCUGGGCAAGUCUGUCCUUCGGGGAGGUCUGGGGUGUUUGGGGAAGGGAGAUAGGGACACACAAUCCUCACAACAACUGCAAAAAGAAGUGUGAGCACGUGGGGGCAGAGGGAGCGUCAGUCAGACGGGAGGUGAUCGGGACUGGAGAGAGAUGUCCCAGAGGAGGUGGCUUGGGCAGGUGGGCUUUGACUGGCGUCUAUGGGAGAGGAGCCCGUAGGAAGAAGAGAGAGCAGGACAGCUGGGAUUGAGUUGGGCUGAAGCCGGACCGGGGAGGGUGUGGCAAGAGAUGAGGCUGAACCGGUGGGCUGGAGGAGGGGGUCCCAGGAAAAGCAGCUCUGGUCCCACCGUCAGCCCUGCCUUUUAUUAUUAAUCUCUCUUGUGAAUUCAGGUGGGAAAAGGCCUGCUGAGAGUAGUGCCAGAAUUCACAGGAGAAAGAUUCUGUAAUUUCUUUGAGCUCUGUGACUCUGGACAAAGUAUUCAGUAUUAAUGCAGUUGACCAUGACGUCUUCUGUGUGCGCGACUGACAGACCAAAUUACCUUUCCUUAUCUCCUGGCGAGAAAAAAGGACCAUUUUCUUGACAUAUUUCAUAAUCAUUUCACCUGCUUGCCCCCUAUGGAGAGCGCCGGUGACCCGGCCCCCUCCCCUCCCACACAAUGCAGGAAGUAUGUCAUCUAAUAAGCCCAGUUUCUAAAGAAUGUUUUUAAUCUUGGAAUAGUGAGUGUGAUUUUUGAUUGUAUUUUUAAUUCUCUAUCUACUUUUUUAAAAGCACACGCUUUUGUUCUAAUUCUCAUCUUAGCUCAUCAGGGCCAGGAGGAAGCGUGGACAUCUUCCAUUCCAUGGAUCUGCUUAGCAUUUGACAGGUGAGGCCCAAAGAGAAGGCAUGGGCCAGGACCCCUUAGGGCAGCUGGGGGCACACCAGGAAUUCUGGAGUCAGGGCUCUAUGCCCUCCAUGCCCAGUGGGCACCGUUCUCUAGGUGGUGCCCCAGCCCGGUAACUACAAAACCUCAGAGCAUUUUUUUCUAAUUGUGGUAAAAUACACAUAACAAAA